GCCUCACAAAUAGCUUGCACUUCUCUUAUCUUAGUCCAAUCCAUGGUGUCUCCUUCUUCUCCUUCACUCAUUGACCUAUCAUCCCCAGAGACUCCCUCAAACAACUCCUCAUCUGUAGGUGCUGUAAGUAUGUCCCGGAUCCUCUUUCUCUGCUGUUCAUCAACAGAUUACUGCUCCCGAGUAACUCUUUUUUCCCUUCUGGCACCCAUACUACUGUUUGUAACAUUACUCACAGGCUCUACUACAACAGUUAUGGGAUACACCACAUACUCAGGGAUGUGUCUUCAGUUCAUUUCUCAGUUGAACUCUUGAUGUUAUACAAACCCUGGUGGAUUUGGUAAUUGGACCUGAAAGGAGCAAGAGGCUGGAGCAACCUUUUGUGGAUCCAGCUGAGGUCAGGUAUGUACCUUAAACUAUCCUUAGCAUUCCCUUGAGUGUAACAUUUGAGCCCAAAGUACAAUCCAGUAAUUGAAUUGGUUCAUGGCCAGUCACUUACUUGAUGGUAAAAUCAAAGUCUUCCCAUCCAAGUCCUAGAACAAGCUGGACCUUAAAUAGCUUAUGACUCCAG
Molecule: long non-coding RNA, 568 nt
Filed under: Anolis carolinensis (green anole)
Lineage: Eukaryota; Metazoa; Chordata; Lepidosauria; Squamata; Anolidae
Description: lncRNA (ENSACAG00000041814.1)
Source: RNAcentral